RNAcentral lists this ribosomal RNA (1263 nucleotides) under Acinetobacter baumannii 1428368. RNAcentral's name for it is "bacterial SSU rRNA". It matches the Rfam family "Bacterial small subunit ribosomal RNA", at positions 8 to 1266 of the family's 1533-position model. The record is from RNAcentral. Lineage: Bacteria; Pseudomonadati; Pseudomonadota; Gammaproteobacteria; Moraxellales; Moraxellaceae.
AGAGUUUGAUCAUGGCUCAGAUUGAACGCUGGCGGCAGGCUUAACACAUGCAAGUCGAGCGGGGGAAGGUAGCUUGCUACUGGACCUAGCGGCGGACGGGUGAGUAAUGCUUAGGAAUCUGCCUAUUAGUGGGGGACAACAUCUCGAAAGGGAUGCUAAUACCGCAUACGUCCUACGGGAGAAAGCAGGGGAUCUUCGGACCUUGCGCUAAUAGAUGAGCCUAAGUCGGAUUAGCUAGUUGGUGGGGUAAAGGCCUACCAAGGCGACGAUCUGUAGCGGGUCUGAGAGGAUGAUCCGCCACACUGGGACUGAGACACGGCCCAGACUCCUACGGGAGGCAGCAGUGGGGAAUAUUGGACAAUGGGGGGAACCCUGAUCCAGCCAUGCCGCGUGUGUGAAGAAGGCCUUAUGGUUGUAAAGCACUUUAAGCGAGGAGGAGGCUACUUUAGUUAAUACCUAGAGAUAGUGGACGUUACUCGCAGAAUAAGCACCGGCUAACUCUGUGCCAGCAGCCGCGGUAAUACAGAGGGUGCGAGCGUUAAUCGGAUUUACUGGGCGUAAAGCGUGCGUAGGCGGCUUAUUAAGUCGGAUGUGAAAUCCCCGAGCUUAACUUGGGAAUUGCAUUCGAUACUGGUGAGCUAGAGUAUGGGAGAGGAUGGUAGAAUUCCAGGUGUAGCGGUGAAAUGCGUAGAGAUCUGGAGGAAUACCGAUGGCGAAGGCAGCCAUCUGGCCUAAUACUGACGCUGAGGUACGAAAGCAUGGGGAGCAAACAGGAUUAGAUACCCUGGUAGUCCAUGCCGUAAACGAUGUCUACUAGCCGUUGGGGCCUUUGAGGCUUUAGUGGCGCAGCUAACGCGAUAAGUAGACCGCCUGGGGAGUACGGUCGCAAGACUAAAACUCAAAUGAAUUGACGGGGGCCCGCACAAGCGGUGGAGCAUGUGGUUUAAUUCGAUGCAACGCGAAGAACCUUACCUGGCCUUGACAUACUAGAAACUUUCCAGAGAUGGAUUGGUGCCUUCGGGAAUCUAGAUACAGGUGCUGCAUGGCUGUCGUCAGCUCGUGUCGUGAGAUGUUGGGUUAAGUCCCGCAACGAGCGCAACCCUUUUCCUUACUUGCCAGCAUUUCGGAUGGGAACUUUAAGGAUACUGCCAGUGACAAACUGGAGGAAGGCGGGGACGACGUCAAGUCAUCAUGGCCCUUACGGCCAGGGCUACACACGUGCUACAAUGGUCGGUACAAAGGGUUGCUACACAGCGAUGUGAU